Ictalurus punctatus (channel catfish) is the source of this 3003-nucleotide long non-coding RNA. The record is from Ensembl. Lineage: Eukaryota; Metazoa; Chordata; Actinopteri; Siluriformes; Ictaluridae.
GCCGAUUGUGCUCACUCCAUCAAAGUGCAGCAGAAACCCGUGAGGUGCUGCCGAGCAGAUGGAACAAGUAGAUCAAGCUGUGGGAGAUUAUUAAAAUGACUGACGAGUCUGUAUCAUCUGAAAUGCGCCAUUAUUAAUGCAUGAGGCUCGGCUAUUUUCCUCUUGCCCUUGAACCUGUCUUAUUUUAUUAUUUUUUUAUUUCCAUUAGCAACACGGCAAUUACUGCUGGGCUGAUGAGCUGCUGGUCACUGCGUUGCCUCUCAAGGUCGGAAAUAUAAAUAAAUUAAGCGAUUCAUUUUUUAAAAUAAAAAAAAAGUUCAAUAUAAAAGUUAAGCACUUAUUUACUUUCCUCCUAGCAUUAACAAUUUCCGCAAAGCCCCUGAAAUGGAGAAGCAUUUACUUCGAGUCUUAGAAGUCUCUUAAGCACUUCUGUAAUCUCAAAAAAAAAAAAAAACAAUUCUUUUUUACUUUUUCUCUUUUUAAAUUUUUUUAAUUUGCUGUGAUUUUUCUCGUGAGGUACGACACCAACGCUUGGCAGGGUUUUAACCCCUGAUUAUUCUAAAUUCGUUUUUUCCUUGUUUUUUGUUUUGUUUUGUUUUGUUUUGUUUGUUUGUUUUAAAUAGGUGUCUUGUUUAAAUUUGUUUCAUAUCUGUUUGCUGGUAGAUUAACUUGUACGUGUUUUGUACAUAUUUUGUUGACCACGCCAAACUGAUUUUCUAGGCUGGCGGUAGACAAAAGGACUGUUGUCAGGACUGAAACUUGAUCACGCUUGUGUAAUGGGGGGGAGAGAGACAGACAGAGAGAGACAGACAGAAAGAGACAGAAAGAAAGAAAGAAAGAGAGAGAGAGAGAUUGAGAGGACUUCGGUCACACACAGAGUUUCAUACGUGUUACAAGCACUGGAUAUAAAUGGUAUUUUUAUCGAUUCUGACUAAUGUGAAGCCGUCGUGCGAGAAAAAAAAAAUCCACACGAACAAAAGUGACCCGUUUGGACUUCCCAGAUUUGAGUCAUUGUAUUUUUUUUUUUUUUUUUUUUUUUUUCUGUGUGUGUGUGUGUGUGCGUGUGCGUGUGUGCGUGUAUUUUUUUUUCUUUUGUUAAUUUAUGCAAAGACACGUGAUAAACGAACACUUUUGUUUAAGCUCCAGUGCUGCCUAAGGGAGAUAAAGAGCAGUAAACUCGACAGAAGGCUCACGUAAGAGACUGAUCAGCCGAGACACACCGGACUUCAAUCGCGCAUCCGAAACUCUCAUGGAAAAAAAGAAAGGAAAAAAAAAAGAAAAAAGAAGAAGAAUCAAAAACUAGACAAGUCACUGUACCUCAUGUAGAUGCUGAGCUCAGUCCCUGUUGAUCAGACAGUAUCGGAUCCGACUCGAGGAACCUCACUUUCACAAGACGUCCUUUCGAACUUCGAACUCGUGGCCACGAUAGAUUCGGCCAAUCGGCCGAAAAUAAAGAAAAAACGAUUUGGGCGUCACGCGUGAGAUCCGGAAGUGAGGUUCUCGCUAAGCUCGGUCCAUGGUGGAUGAACAAAUAUUUAUUAUUUUUUUAUGCUGAAUAACAUGGACACGUUCUUAGAAUUUUCUUUUUUCUUUCUUUCUUUCUUUCUUUCAGCUUUUCAGCAGCUGCAGUCCAUUUUGUGUUCAAUUAAUUCAUAUCACUGCCAUCUUUUUAUGCAAAUUAGAUACAACUGAAGACAAAAUACAUAUGCUGUUUCUACUUAUCUUACUGUAAUUCUGUUUCAGUCAUUAGAUGUUUUUUAAUAAUGUAUAUUGUGGGAUUCUUUUAUUCUUUUUUUGUUGCUAAUUUAAUCAGCACAAUUCACUGACAUGCUGGACUGAAAUGCUAGCUGCUGUUCAGAAGAGUACGUUGUUUUUUUUUGUUUGUUUGUUUGUUUUUAUUUUGCUGUCAGGGACAAAUUAUUGUCAUUGCAAUGGUACUUUCUAGUUUCUAGUCUCUCAAGCAACACUGUGUGCGUGGCUCAUCGAGUGCCGGGGCCGCUCUCGACUUCGAAUCCCGCUGGCAGCCUGAUAAUUAUAUUUCUUUUUGUUUUGAAUUUUUGUUUUUGUGCAUAUAGAAACCGGUUUCUCGGCAGGUACCUGGCCAGGUAUUGUUCGGGCGUUAGAGAUAUAGAACUAGUGUGCUGCUUUAAAGAGAGAGAGAGAGAGAGAGAGAGAAAAAAAUAAAAAUAAAAAACCCAGUACAAAAAAAGUAAUUAAGUCUAAAAAUGUAAAUAGUUUAUCAUAUCUUGUACAGUCCAGUGUAAAGUUUUUAAUUGAACUUAAAGGUUGCCAUCACGCUCUCGUUCACAGUUUUCUUCUUUAUACAGUAUGAAAAAACAGUACGAAAGACGGCAAUUUGCUAAGGGUAUUAUUGUUUUAAAAAAAAUAAGACAAAAAAAAAAGGUACUAAAAAGAUUUUCUGCUUGGCUUCAGUAUGUAAACCAGCAACUUAUUGUUUUUUUUUUUUGUUUGUUUGUUUGUUUUUUCCAUGUGCAGUAUUGACGUGAGGUAAACUAAAUUAAUUCUACAGUCGUAUGUUCCAGAGAUGAGUCUACGAGUCUCUCUGUAAUGGUAGUAUUAAUAUAAAUAAAAUAAUCCAGAUGAGUGACGCAUUUUGGUUUAUUUAGGCACCUUAGUGGAUUGUACAAUUCUCUAGGUCGCUCUCCGUACAGGAGGCGUUUUUAUUUUUUGUUUGUUUUUGGUUGUUUUUUUUUGUUUUUGUUUUUUGACAUAAAGUUGUAAAGUAAUGACAUUUCUACAGUAUACUCAAUACAUUUGAUGUACAAUGGCAGAAGAGGGAGUUCCUGUCUGUUUUAGCUCAUUUACCUCAAGAGUUUCCUCUUUUUUUCCUUCAUAAAAACCAUACACACACACACACACACACACACACACACACACACACACACACACACACAAACAUACAACCAGAAAAUCGUCUCACCAUCACUCCAUCUUUUGUACUGCUGUUGACACUUACAAAUUAAAGAGACAUUUUGUUUUAAA